CGGGUUGUAGUUCAGUUGGUUAGAAUGCUUGCCUGUCACGCAAGAGGUCGCGGGUUCGAUCCCCGCCAGCCCGACCA
RNAcentral lists this transfer RNA (77 nucleotides) under Stenotrophomonas phage Mendera. Its description in RNAcentral is "tRNA-Asp". It matches the Rfam family "tRNA". Rfam says of the family: Transfer RNA (tRNA) molecules are approximately 80 nucleotides in length. Their secondary structure includes four short double-helical elements and three loops (D, anti-codon, and T loops). Further hydrogen bonds mediate the characteristic L-shaped molecular structure. tRNAs have two regions of fundamental functional importance: the anti-codon, which is responsible for specific mRNA codon recognition, and the 3' end, to which the tRNAs corresponding amino acid is attached (by aminoacyl-tRNA synthetases). tRNAs cope with the degeneracy of the genetic code in two manners: having more than one tRNA (with a specific anti-codon) for a particular amino acid; and 'wobble' base-pairing, i.e. permitting non-standard base-pairing at the 3rd anti-codon position. Lineage: Duplodnaviria; Heunggongvirae; Uroviricota; Caudoviricetes. The record is from RNAcentral.